UUUGCUACCGCAAUAGCAUCCAUCGAACCAGGUCAGGGUCGGAAGACAGCAGCCUUAAGAUGGCUCUGCUAUGUGUGGUGGCUUUUUU
RNAcentral lists this signal recognition particle RNA (88 nucleotides) under Erysipelothrix sp. RNAcentral's name for it is "signal recognition particle sRNA small type". It matches the Rfam family "Bacterial small signal recognition particle RNA". Rfam says of the family: The signal recognition particle (SRP) is a universally conserved ribonucleoprotein involved in the co-translational targeting of proteins to membranes. The record is from RNAcentral. Lineage: Bacteria; Bacillati; Bacillota; Erysipelotrichia; Erysipelotrichales; Erysipelotrichaceae.